Molecule: long non-coding RNA, 556 nt
Organism: Fukomys damarensis (Damara mole-rat)
Lineage: Eukaryota; Metazoa; Chordata; Mammalia; Rodentia; Bathyergidae
Exons: 4
Source: RefSeq, a predicted model, not a curated record
GUUUCUGUGCUCAGACUCCAUCCACUUAUGCACUGAGGUCUUUUGGUUUGCACUUGUAGAGUGGCUGUGGCCUGUGAGGAAGGGAAGGAAAAGGCUAGUGGCUCUGUUGACUCAAACCCACAUCCUUUCUAACCAGAACCUGAGGAAAAAAUAAUUUUUACUGUGGAGUGAAUGUAACAGACUGCACACCAAUGAAGUGUCCUGCAGCUUCUUGGUAUUUUCAGAUGUGACAGACAUGUGCACAUGCACACACAGAAGACUGGAGCAGAGUGCCUCACGAUGGGCCUGCCUGUGUUUACUGCUUUAGUCAAGUGGAGGAUGACAAGAUUUCUUCUUGCAGCACCGCCACCUUCUACCCAACACACUCAAAACACGUGACCUUGAUCCUGGACGCGCUCGGUUCACUUGAGGCUAAGCACCACUGAUCUUAGAUGAACUUGUGUGUGGUUAUGACCUUGGGAAACCAAGCGGAAAGGACUAUACAAGGCAGCUAAGCUGUACCCACAAAAGCCCCAAGUCACAGCUCUGUUGCUGAAGGAGGUAAAUACACAGCAUC